GACGAACGCUGGCGGCGUGCUUAACACAUGCAAGUCGAACGGAAAGGCCCUGCUUUUGUGGGGUGCUCGAGUGGCGAACGGGUGAGAACACGUGAGUAACCUGCCCUUGACUUUGGGAUAACUUCAGGAAACUGGGGCUAAUACCGGUUAGGAGCUCCUGCUGCAUGGUGGGGGUUGGAAAGUUUCGGCGGUUGGGGAUGGACUCGCGGCUUAUCAGCUUGUUGGUGGGGUAGUGGCUUACCAAGGCUUUGACGGGUAGCCGGCCUGAGAGGGUGACCGGCCACAUUGGGACUGAGAGACGGCGCAGACUCCUACGGGAGGCAGCAGUGGGGAAUAUUGCACAAUGGGCGGGAGCCUGAUGCAGCAACGCCGCGUGCGGGAUGACGGCCUUCGGGUUGUAAACCGCUUUCGCCUGUGACGAAGCGUGAGUGACGGUAAUGGGUAAAGAAGCACCGGCUAACUACGUG
This 467-nucleotide ribosomal RNA is filed under the name uncultured bacterium. Its description in RNAcentral is "partial 16S ribosomal RNA". It matches the Rfam family "Bacterial small subunit ribosomal RNA", at positions 28 to 507 of the family's 1533-position model. The record is from RNAcentral.